GACGAACGCUGGCGGCGUGCUUAACACAUGCAAGUCGAACGGAAAGGCCCUGCUUUUGUGGGGUGCUCGAGUGGCGAACGGGUGAGUAACACGUGAGUAACCUGCCCUUGACUUUGGGAUAACUUCAGGAAACUGGGGCUAAUACCGGAUAGGAGCUCCUGCUGCAUGGUGGGGGUUGGAAAGUUUCGGCGGUUGGGGAUGGACUCGCGGCUUAUCAGCUUGUUGGUGGGGUAGUGGCUUACCAAGGCUUUGACGGGUAGCCGGCCUGAGAGGGUGACCGGCCACAUUGGGACUGAGAUACGGCCCAGACUCCUACGGUAGGCAGCAGUGGGGAAUAUUGCACAAUGGGCGGAAGCCUGAUGCAGCAACGCCGCGUGCGGGAUGACGGACUUCGGGUUGUAAACCGCUUUCGCCUGUGACGAAGCGUGAAUGACGGUAAUGGGUAAAGAAGCACCGGCUAACUACGUG
Molecule: ribosomal RNA, 468 nt
Filed under: uncultured bacterium
Lineage: Bacteria
Description: partial 16S ribosomal RNA
Rfam family: Bacterial small subunit ribosomal RNA
Source: RNAcentral